AACCUUUACACUGCACGACAGUGCGAUAGGGGGACUCCGAGUGCGAGGGCAUAUAGCCCUCGCUUUUCUGAACCGUAAGGUGGUUCAGGAACAAGGACUGGGCAAGACCGGUGCCAGCCGCCGCGGUAAUACCGGCAGUCCGAGUGAUGGCCGAUAUUAUUGGGCCUAAAGCGUCCGUAGCCGGCCGGACAAGUCCGUUGGGAAAUCGACGCGCUCAACGCGUCGGCGUCCAGCGGAAACUGUCCGGCUUGGGGCCGGAAGACCUGAGGGGUACGUCCGGGGUAGGAGUGAAAUCCUGUAAUCCUGGACGGACCGCCAAUGGGGAAACCACCUCAGGAAGACGGACCCGACGGUGAGGGACGAAAGCUAGGGUCUCGAACCGGAUUAGAUACCCGGGUAGUCCUAGCUGUAAACGAUGCUCGCUAGGUGUGCCGUAGGCUACGAGCCUGCGCUGCGCCCUAGGGAAGCCGAGAAGCGAGCCGCCUGGGAAGUACGUCCGCAAGGAUGAAACUUAA
This 515-nucleotide ribosomal RNA is filed under the name uncultured archaeon. RNAcentral describes it as "bacterial SSU rRNA". It matches the Rfam family "Archaeal small subunit ribosomal RNA", at positions 345 to 859 of the family's 1478-position model. The record is from RNAcentral.